This 417-nucleotide ribosomal RNA is filed under the name uncultured Bacteroidota bacterium. RNAcentral's name for it is "bacterial SSU rRNA". It matches the Rfam family "Bacterial small subunit ribosomal RNA", at positions 608 to 1029 of the family's 1533-position model. The record is from RNAcentral. Lineage: Bacteria; Pseudomonadati; Bacteroidota.
CUUAACGGUAAAAUGGCCUUGGAUACUGGGCGUCUUGAGCAUGACAGAGGUUGGUGGAAUUCGUAGUGUAGCGGUGAAAUGCAUAGAUAUUACGAAGAACACCGGUGGCGAAAGCGGCCAACUGGGUCAUAGCUGACGCUAAGGCACGAGAGCGUGGGGAGCGAACAGGAUUAGAUACCCUGGUAGUCCACGCUGUAAACGAUGUAUGCUAGUUGUGGGGCCGCAAGGUUCCGUGACGCAGUUAACGCAGUAAGCAUACCACCUGGGGAGUACGUUCGCAAGAAUGAAACUCAAAGGAAUUGACGGGGGCCCGCACAAGCGGUGGAGCAUGUGGCUUAAUUCGAUGCAACGCGAAGAACCUUACCCGGGCUAAAUCCCGGUUGACCGCUCCCGAAACGGGGCUUCCCUUCGGGGCAA